GAGCGCAACCCUCACUUUUAGUUGCCAUCAUUAAGUUGGGCACUCUGAAAGAACUGCCAGUGAUAAGCUGGAGGAAGGUGGGGAUGACGUCAAGUCCUCAUGGCCCUUACGUGUUGGGCUACACACGUGCUACAAUGGCAUCUACAACAGGAAGCAAAACGGCAACGUUAAGCAAAUCCCGAAAAGAUGCCUCAGUUCGGAUUGCACUCUGCAACUCGAGUGCAUGAAGCUGGAAUUACUAGUAAUCGUGGAUCAGCGUGCCACGGUGAAUGCGUUCCCGGGUCUUGUACACACCGCCCGUCACACCAUGGGAGUUGGUUCUACCUUAAGGCAAGGUUUUAAACCCUUGACCACGGUAUAGUCAGCGACUGGGGUGAAGUCGUAACAAGGUAGCCGUAGGGGAACCUGCGGCUGGAUUACCUCCUUU
This 427-nucleotide ribosomal RNA is filed under the name Candidatus Pelagibacter sp. RNAcentral's name for it is "bacterial SSU rRNA". It matches the Rfam family "Bacterial small subunit ribosomal RNA", at positions 1094 to 1533 of the family's 1533-position model. Lineage: Bacteria; Pseudomonadati; Pseudomonadota; Alphaproteobacteria; Candidatus Pelagibacterales; Candidatus Pelagibacteraceae. The record is from RNAcentral.